Molecule: transfer RNA, 84 nt
Filed under: Streptomyces murinus
Lineage: Bacteria; Bacillati; Actinomycetota; Actinomycetes; Kitasatosporales; Streptomycetaceae
Also listed under: 2 other names
Description: tRNA-Leu
Rfam family: tRNA
About the family: Transfer RNA (tRNA) molecules are approximately 80 nucleotides in length. Their secondary structure includes four short double-helical elements and three loops (D, anti-codon, and T loops).
Source: RNAcentral
GGGCGAGUAGCGCAACUGGCUGACGCGGCGGACGUAAAAAUCCGUUACCCUAAAGGGAAGUGGGUUCGACCCCCACCUCGCUCA